This 505-nucleotide ribosomal RNA is filed under the name uncultured bacterium. RNAcentral's name for it is "partial 16S ribosomal RNA". It matches the Rfam family "Bacterial small subunit ribosomal RNA", at positions 28 to 507 of the family's 1533-position model. The record is from RNAcentral.
GACGAACGCUGGCGGCGUGCCUAAUACAUGCAAGUAGAACGCACAGUUUAUACCGUAGCUUGCUACACCAUAGACUGUGAGUUGCGAACGGGUGAGUAACGCGUAGGUAACCUGCCUGGUAGCGGGGGAUAACUAUUGGAAACGAUAGCUAAUACCGCAUAAUAUUGAUUAUUGCAUGAUAAUUGAUUGAAAGAUGCUAUUGCAUCACUACCAGAUGGACCUGCGUUGUAUUAGCUAGUAGGUGAGGUAACGGCUCACCUAGGCGACGAUACAUAGCCGACCUGAGAGGGUGAUCGGCCACACUGGGACUGAGACACGGCCCAGACUCCUACGGGAGGCAGCAGUAGGGAAUCUUCGGCAAUGGACGAAAGUCUGACCGAGCAACGCCGCGUGAGUGAAGAAGGGUUUCGGAUCGUAAAGCUCUGUUGUAAGAGAAGAACGGGUGUGAGAGUGGAAAGUCCACACUGUGACGGUAUCUUACCAGAAAGGGACGGCUAACUACGUG